This 471-nucleotide ribosomal RNA is filed under the name uncultured microorganism. Its description in RNAcentral is "bacterial SSU rRNA". It matches the Rfam family "Bacterial small subunit ribosomal RNA", at positions 9 to 524 of the family's 1533-position model. The record is from RNAcentral.
GAGUUUGAUCCUGGCUCAGAACGAACGCUGGCGGCAGGCCUAACACAUGCAAGUCGAGCGCUUCACUUCGGUGAGGAGCGGCGAACGGGUUAGUAACGCGUGGGAACGUACCCAAAGGUAGGGAAUAGCCACUGGAAACGGUGAGUAAUGCCCUAUGUGCCCUUCGGGGAAAGAUUUAUCGCCUUUGGAUCGGCCCGCGUUAGAUUAGGUAGUUGGUGGGGUAAGUGGCCUACCAAGCCUACGAUCUAUAGCUGGUUUGAGAGGAUGAUCAGCAACACUGGGACUGAGACACGGCCCAGACUCCUACGGGAGGCAGCAGUGGGGAAUCUUAGACAAUGGGCGAAAGCCUGAUCUAGCCAUGCCGCGUGAGUGAUGAAGGCCUUAGGGUCGUAAAGCUCUUUCGCCAGGGAUGAUAAUGACAGUACCUGGUAAAGAAACCCCGGCUAACUCCGUGCCAGCCGCCGCAGUAAG